RNAcentral lists this ribosomal RNA (874 nucleotides) under uncultured archaeon. RNAcentral describes it as "bacterial SSU rRNA". It matches the Rfam family "Archaeal small subunit ribosomal RNA", at positions 54 to 922 of the family's 1478-position model. The record is from RNAcentral.
UUAGUCGAGGGUGCUUCUUCUUCGGAAGAGGUAACCCGGCGGACGGCUCAGUAACACGUGGAUAACUUGCCCUUGGGUCUGGGAUAACCCCUGAGAAAUUGGGGACAAUACCGGAUAGGGCAUCGAUAGCUGGAAUGCGCGAUGUCCAAAAGCUGAGGCGCCCAAGGAUAGGUCUGCGGCCGAUUAGGUUGUUGUUGAUGUAAUGGAUCAACAAGCCUGCAAUCGGUACGGGUUGUGAGAGCAAGAGCCCGGAGAUGGGUUCUGAGAAAAGAACCCAGGUCCUACGGGACGCAUCAGGCGCGAAAACUUUACAAUGUGCGAAAGCACGAUAAGGGAACUCUGAGUGCCUCCUAUGGAGGCUGUUCAGGUGUCUAAAAAGCACUUGAAGUAAGGGCUGGGUAAGACCGGUGCCAGCCGCCGCGGUAACACCGGCAGCCCAAGUGGUAGCCACGAUUAUUGGGUCUAAAGCGUCCGUAGCCGGCCAGGUAAGUUCUUUGGGAAAUUUAACCGCUCAACGGUUAAGCUUUCAGGGAAUACUGCUUGGCUUGGGACCGGGAGAGGUCAGAGGUACUUCAAGGGUAGGGGUGAAAUCCGUUAAUCCUUGAGGGACCACCAGUAGCGAAGGCGUCUGACCAGACCGGGUCCGACGGUGAGGGACGAAGGCUAGGGUCGCGAACCGGAUUAGAUACCCGGGUAGUCCUAGCUGUAAACGAUGCGGGCCAGGUGUUGGCAUUACUGCGAGUGAUGCCAGUGCCGAAGGGAAGCCGUUAAGCCCGCCAUCUGGGGAGUACGGUCGCAAGGCUGAAACUUAAAGGAAUUGGCGGGGGAGCACCACGACGGGUGGAGCCUGCGGUUCAAUUGGAUCAACGCCGGA